GCCGGGUGUGGUGUCGAGUGCCUGUAAUCCCAGCUACUUGGGAGGCUGAGGCAGGAGAAUUGCUUGAACCCAGGAGGCGGAGGUUGCAGUGAGCCAAGAUCGCGCCAUUGCACUCCAGCCUGGGUGACAGAGCGAGACUCUGUCUCAA
Pongo abelii (Sumatran orangutan) is the source of this 148-nucleotide unclassified non-coding RNA. It matches the Rfam family "Metazoan signal recognition particle RNA". From Rfam's summary of the family: The signal recognition particle (SRP) is a universally conserved ribonucleoprotein. It is involved in the co-translational targeting of proteins to membranes. The eukaryotic SRP consists of a 300-nucleotide 7S RNA and six proteins: SRPs 72, 68, 54, 19, 14, and 9. Lineage: Eukaryota; Metazoa; Chordata; Mammalia; Primates; Hominidae. The record is from Ensembl.